Long non-coding RNA from Gallus gallus (chicken), 496 nucleotides. NCBI's taxonomy places the organism in Eukaryota, Metazoa, Chordata, Aves, Galliformes, Phasianidae. The record is from Ensembl.
GCUCUGCUAACACAGGCCACUUGUAGGAGAGCACAGGGAGAGCAGCUCGCAGUGCUUAUGCAAUGGUGUGACUGCAGAGUGCCCGAGGAGAGCCAGCUCUUCUCUAGGCCUUUCAGAAAGAAGAGCCUUUGCCUCUGAAGCCUCCAGCUGAGAAGCCAUUACCUUGAGGUAGUGAAUUUAGCACUCAUCAGAUGCGCUGGAUCGAGUCCCUGGCAGGACACCAGCAGGACAGCCAGCCCACACAGAGGCCUGCCCGUGCUGAUGGCUGCGUUUUUGGGGUGCCUCUUUGGGCCAGCCAAGCAGCACAGCAGCGACUGCUCGCCAUCAUCGCAGCCCUCGCUGACCCCAGAGACCAGAUACCAUGCACUGAGAGCACCACAACCCAGCCCAGCCCAGAACAGAGCCUACUGGUUCCUUUGGCCACCAGCCGACAACACGACAAGAAUCCACAACUCGGACGUUCAUGGCGGGGGGGGAUGCUACUGUGAACGCCUGC